This 190-nucleotide non-coding RNA is filed under the name Sphingobium sp. Lineage: Bacteria; Pseudomonadati; Pseudomonadota; Alphaproteobacteria; Sphingomonadales; Sphingobiaceae. The record is from RNAcentral.
AGGGCGGCGAUUGCGUCAGGUUCCCCGCAAGGGGAUCAAAAGGGAACGGGGUUCAAGACCCCGGCUGCCCCUGCAACUGUGAGCGGCGAGCCAUCGAGGCACAGGCCAUUGGGAUCAUGAUCCCGAGAAGGCGCUUCGAAAACGGCAUUGACCCGCAAGCCAGGAGACCUGCCUGUCGCGGUCGUUCUUC